This 253-nucleotide ribosomal RNA is filed under the name uncultured bacterium. Its description in RNAcentral is "partial 16S ribosomal RNA". It matches the Rfam family "Bacterial small subunit ribosomal RNA", at positions 524 to 776 of the family's 1533-position model. The record is from RNAcentral.
UACGUAGGGGGCAAGCGUUGUCCGGAAUCAUUGGGCGUAAAGCGCGCGUAGGCGGUCCGAUAAGUCUGCUGUGAAAGUCGGGGGCUCAACCCUCGGAUGCCGGUGGAUACUGUCGGGCUUGAGUGCGGAAGAGGCGAGUGGAAUUCCUGGUGUAGCGGUGAAAUGCGCAGAUAUCAGGAGGAACACCGAUUGCGAAGGCAGCUCGCUGGAACGUUACUGACGCUGAGACGCGAAAGCGUGGGGAGCAAACAGG